Long non-coding RNA from Esox lucius (northern pike), 1414 nucleotides. The record is from Ensembl. Lineage: Eukaryota; Metazoa; Chordata; Actinopteri; Esociformes; Esocidae.
GGCAGACCUUAAACGGUUUUGGCACACAAAAGUAAUCUGAGAAUCCGUCGGGUUGCCAAGCGUCUGAGAGAACUGCACCCACACAGCCAUAUAUGGUCAGAAGAAACGAUUUCGAACAUAGUGCUGCAUUUCUUUCAGGACACUCCAAGAGGAUUUCAUUUUACGUGCUCUCUCUCUCUUUCCAAAUGGUUCGAUGUUGUAUUUCGAGGGGUUGAUACACAGAAGAUGUCAGACAAGCAAGAUGUAAUACAUCCUAUAGGUAAAGAAGAAAUAUAGAAAUCAUGGUGUUUGUUUGUGUUUGUGUUUCUUUUCCUAAGUAUUAAAGGGACUCCGGGUGAACUCGUCACAGUUGCUGGACAGUUACAGUAUGCCAUGCAUUAAAUAUUAGUGUCUUGAUCAAAAGCGGCUGAACAAAAACGUGGAGGAGCUCGUUUUUCCAGAUAGGGUCCUAUUUCACUAUUGCUGCGUAAUUGGCCUAGGUUAAAAAGGAGCGUCGAACCAUCUAGUCACGAGGCUGAAAGCUGUUUACUAGCCAUUCAGUGUUAUUCACAUCCUCUAAAAACAACAUCGGUUCUGGCAUGCCAAAUACCAGCAAUUGAUGAUGGGCCCUGUUUGUAGAUAAUAGAGUCAUUCGUUGCGCAUAAUAGAAAGGAGCCGUGCAGGCCAUUCCAUCAAUUCUGUGCUCAUUCUUACAGGCCGUGUUCUUUCUAGUAUUUCAAGCAGCAAGAGUGGAAAUUAUAAUGUAAGAAGUGUUACCCAAAGGUCUCUAUUCUAUGACCGGCAAAGCAUUAUACCGUGUCACAUAGUAUUUUUAUAUGGCUAAGCCGACCAGCUGUUUUUGCGCUAUUCUAGAAUUACGCAAGCAGAGAAGGCACACAAAAGCACAACCAGGAAAAAAGCGAAAGGGCCUCUUGUGCAGAAGACCAACGACUGCAGCACAGCCGUAUGUUUUUCACUCACAUUUAGGAAGACGUAGCAUGACCGCCCUCCUUCAUAUACUCCCUUUUGGUGACACUCCAUAUGGCAAUAAACUGUUGAGAAGAACCUUACAUUAAUACAUUAUUCACAUAUAGAAACCGACGAAUACCAAUACCGCAAAUGUAUUCGAUUAAAUCUAAAUAGCCUAUCAUUGUUGUCAUUUAGACACAUUUUUCAUCCUACAAGCGCCAAUAUCUUUUUGCUCGUAAAAUAAAUACCUGACCUCAGAUUUGUAGAACAUUUCAAACACGAACACGUUUUACAUUAUUUUAUUAGUCCUCAUGUAGUCUAUUUAAUCUGACGUUUUAAGCAUCAAUUUGUUUAUACCAAAUUACUGUGUUUGUAAUGAGGCCAGUAAAUGAAAGGGUGCCACAGAUGAAAUUUCAGAAAAUUCUGCCCUAGAACAGGGCAGUUAAACCUAAUUGGUCCUCUGCGG